CAGGGCCCCUGGGGGCUCGGCUGGGGCUAGGCUAGGCCUGCCAUCUGCCCCCGGCUGCCUCUGACGAGGCCCCACAGCCCCCCCCCGUGCGUGCCCUCCUCCCAGGGAGAUCAGGGCUCCCGGCCGCUCCGGGUUCCGACCCCAGCCAGCACCUCCCACACCCCUGGGGGCACAGACUCUGCCCGCACUUGACGACACCACGCCUCGAGAGGACCCCAGGCUGGCCGCCCGAUGGGCUGAGGGCCCGUCCACACCCCGGGCUGACCCGGCCUCCCCCGGGGGAGCUGAGGCAGAGAUGGCCCGACCCCCGGAACCUCGUCCAGGGACCCUCUGGGCUUCUCCAGGAUGGGCUGGGCUGCGAGCCUCAGCCUCAGGGGUCGGGCCUGGCUUGUCUGGAGGGUGGGGCUGAGCUGGGCCCUCCCCAGGGGCAGGGGGCAGGUCCGGGAGCGGGGGUCCCGGGGGGGCCUCCCCUGGCCGAGGAAGCACUGCAGGAACCACUUUGGGGUAUAGAUGCCGGUGGACAUCUGCUCCUCGUCCAGGCCCCAGGGGGAAGAAUGUGACCCCAAUUCUGGGCAGCUUGGAGUGCCGUGCCCCCCACCCCCUGCCCCGGGCCCCGGGGAGGGAGCCUCAGGAGCUCCCACUCGCCAUGUGCUUCCUCAGGUCAAGGAGAGCUCUUUGGAAGACGCGCUCAUGAUGAGCCUGGAACCUGAGGAGCUUCUGGAAGCCUGGGACGAAGAAGCCUGAGAAGGCCCCAGGCCCCCACGAUCAGGGCCUCCUGCACCAGAACCACCCACUGGAAGCAGGUGCUGUUUAUGAUGGACGAACCCAUGUCCGUGGUCUCGGGAGAUGUGGUCACAGGCUUGGUUGUGCUGCAGAGAAACCCCGUGUGGAGGAGGCACAUGUCCGUGGCGCUCAGCUUCCACACAAGACCCCACAUCCACACAAGACCCCACAUCGCAGAAAGUUGGAGAGAAGGUCUUUCCCAUCUGGAGAUGACGGUCGAAGUUGUGGGAAGCAGGUGCUGCAGGAACGAGCCCGGGCGGAGACGCGCUUGGAUGUGAGCCCCCGUUCCUGUGGCCUGAGAGCUCCCCUGCCCGGCGGCGGGACACCCGUGUGCGUGCACGCUACCUUCCUCGUGGCCUCCAGAGGCGCCGCGUGGGGCUCGGUGGGGACCCCUCACCCCUGUCACUGCCCGUGUCUGUGCUCUAGAAGUAGGCUGUGUCCCCAGGUGUCCACAGUCUGGCUCGUGGCCGAGUCGGUGGCACUGUGUCCCUAAGCUAGGUCUAGAUCUCAACUCAUAGGGCACACGUGCAUCAACCUCGUACUCCUGUGAAAGUGGCUGUUCACGUAUCAUGUGUCAUGGUGUCCUUGCUGCCCGGGUCCCUCCCUGUCGUGCGAAGGUGGGCGCCCCAAAGCCGUGCAGGGCCUGGAGGCGGUGAUGCAUGUGACGGGACUCUGCAUGGAUAGUACAGUCGUAGAGAUGUCUUCCACGUAAAUUAUGUGUUGGCGCAUAGCACAUACUCAAUAAAUAAUUUUA
Molecule: long non-coding RNA, 1537 nt
Organism: Canis lupus familiaris (dog)
Lineage: Eukaryota; Metazoa; Chordata; Mammalia; Carnivora; Canidae
Exons: 3
Source: RefSeq, a predicted model, not a curated record